RNAcentral lists this ribosomal RNA (499 nucleotides) under uncultured bacterium. RNAcentral's name for it is "partial 16S ribosomal RNA". It matches the Rfam family "Bacterial small subunit ribosomal RNA", at positions 28 to 507 of the family's 1533-position model. The record is from RNAcentral.
GACGAACGCUGGCGGCGUGCCUAAUACAUGCAAGUCGAGCGGACUUUCAAGAAGCUUGCUUUUUGAAAGUUAGCGACGGACGGGUGAGUAAAACGUGGGCAACCUGCCUGCAAGUCGGGGAUAACUCCGGGAAACCGGGGCUAAUACCGGAUAAUAUCUUCCUUCGCAUGAAGGAAGGUUGAAAGGCGGCGCAAGCUGCCGCUUGCAGAUGGGCCCGCGGCGCAUUAGCUAGUUGGUGAGGUAACGGCUCACCAAGGCGACGAUGCGUAGCCGACCUGGGAGGGUGAUCGGCCACACUGGGACUGAGACACGGCCCAGACUCCUACGGGAGGCAGCAGUAGGGAAUCUUCCGCAAUGGACGAAAGUCUGACGGAGCAACGCCGCGUGAGCGAAGAAGGUCUUCGGAUCGUAAAGCUCUGUUGUCAGGGAAGAACAAGUACCGUUCGAACAGGGCGGUACCUUGACGGUACCUGACCAGAAAGCCACGGCUAACUACGUG